UGGGGAAUUUUGGACAAUGGGGGGAACCCUGAUCCAGCAACGCCGCGUGAAUGAAGAAGGCCUUAGGGUUGUAAAGUUCUUUUGUCAGGGAAGAAAGUUUCUGUGCUAAUACCAUAGAACGAUGACGGUACCUGAAGAAUAAGCACCGGCUAACUACGUGCCAGCAGCCGCGGUAAUACGUAGGGUGCAAGCGUUAAUCGGAAUUACUGGGCGUAAAGCGUGCGCAGGCGGAUAUGUAAGUUAGAAGUGAAAUCCCCGGGCUCAACCUGGGAACUGCUUUUAAGACUGCGUAUCUAGAGUUUGUCAGAGGGGGGUGGAAUUCCAAGUGUAGCAGUGAAAUGCGUAGAGAUUUGGAGGAACACCGAUGGCGAAGGCAGCCCCCUGG
RNAcentral lists this ribosomal RNA (385 nucleotides) under uncultured bacterium. RNAcentral describes it as "bacterial SSU rRNA". It matches the Rfam family "Bacterial small subunit ribosomal RNA", at positions 355 to 732 of the family's 1533-position model. The record is from RNAcentral.